AUGACCUCAGUCACUUAUCUCCUGUGGUUGCUACUGCUCUGGUUCACAGGUGUCAAAUGUGAAACCCAGAUGACCCAGUCUCCAGGUUCCUUGUCUGAAUCUCUGGGAGACACUGUCACCAUCACAUGCCACGCCAGCGAAAACAUUUACAGUAGUUUAGCAUGGUAUCAGCAGAAACCAGGGAAAUCUCCCAGGGUCCUGAUCUAUGAUGCAAGCAGGUUGGCAGAUGAAGUUCCAUCAAGGUUCAGUGGCAGUGGAUCUAGAACAGAUUAUUCUCUCAAGAUAGAUGGCCUGCAUCCAGAAGAUGUUGCAACUUAUUACUGUCUACAAGGUAGAAAUACCCCUCCCACAGUGUUAUAA
Non-coding RNA from Microtus oregoni (creeping vole), 360 nucleotides. The record is from the annotation of a RefSeq genome assembly. Lineage: Eukaryota; Metazoa; Chordata; Mammalia; Rodentia; Cricetidae.